AGUGAACGCUGGCGGUAGGCCUAACACAUGCAAGUCGAACGGCAGCACAGAGGAGCUUGCUCCUUGGGUGGCGAGUGGCGGACGGGUGAGGAAUACAUCGGAAUCUACUCUGUCGUGGGGGAUAACGUAGGGAAACUAACGCUAAUACCGCAUACGACCUACGGGUGAAAGCAGGGGACCUUCGGGCCUUGCGCGAUUGAAUGAGCCGAUGUCGGAUUAGCUAGUUGGCGGGGUAAAGGCCCACCACGGCGACGAUCCGUAGCUGGUCUGAGAGGAUGAACAGCCACACUGGGACUCAGACACGGGCCAGACUCCCACGGGAGACAGCAGUCGGGAAUAUUGGACAAUGGGCGCAAGCCUGAUCCAGCCAUACCGCGUGGAUGAAGAAGGCCUUCGGGUUGUAAAGCCCUUUUGUUGGGAAAGAAAUCCAGCUGGCUAAUACCCGGUUGGGAUGACGGUACCCAAAGAAUAAGCACCGGCUAACUUCGUGCCAGCCGCCGCGGUAA
This 506-nucleotide ribosomal RNA is filed under the name uncultured bacterium. RNAcentral describes it as "partial 16S ribosomal RNA". It matches the Rfam family "Bacterial small subunit ribosomal RNA", at positions 29 to 523 of the family's 1533-position model. The record is from RNAcentral.